This 253-nucleotide ribosomal RNA is filed under the name uncultured bacterium. RNAcentral describes it as "partial 16S ribosomal RNA". It matches the Rfam family "Bacterial small subunit ribosomal RNA", at positions 524 to 776 of the family's 1533-position model. The record is from RNAcentral.
UACAGAGGGGGCAAGCGUUGUUCGGAAUUACUGGGCGUAAAGGGCGCGUAGGCGGCCUGUUAAGUCGGACGUGAAAUCCCCGGGCUCAACCCGGGAACUGCGUCCGAUACUGGAAGGCUUGAAUCCGGGAGAGGGAUGUGGAAUUCCAGGUGUAGCGGUGAAAUGCGUAGAUAUCUGGAGGAACACCGGUGGCGAAGGCGACAUCCUGGACCGGUAUUGACGCUGAGGCGCGAAAGCCAGGGGAGCAAACGGG